GUCUAGCAGGUCGGCCGGACAUGGCGCCGAUCGAGGCUCUAGCUUCUGGCUGGCCCCGUCUGGCUCUGCUGCUCCCUCCCUAGCAGUGCCCGUCACAUGUUCGAACAAAUGCCUCAGCGGCCAGCGUAGCCGACCGUACUAGUGACUGCACCAGUGCUGCUAGCCUGCUAGCGUGCGCUGGGAGUGGAACUCGUGGCCGGAGAAGAGCCAAACACACGAGCGGCGAACGGUGGUUGAAUGCAGAGCGAAAAUGUCGAAAGAUGGCGAGGCCCGAAGCGCCAGGGAGGUCGGAGGUGACUUGGCUGGAGUCAAGUGGAUGAUGAUGGUGGUACGUUCCGGUUUUCUGCGAUGAUGGUUAGUCAAGGUGGCCUCUGAACGCCGGCGUGAAGUGUGAACCUACGGCGUGCGGUGGUCGUGCACCAGUCAGCAGUCAACACACCCUCUCCGCCUACCAUCGCCGUUCACAGAUUCGAUAUCACUGCCUCCUGGUACCAUACCAGGUAGUAUUCUAUACUGGCUUACUCUUGCUUAUCCAUGUGUUCCAGACCAAAUUAUUCAGCAGCGCAGCUCGAUGCCGGAGUAUUCAACAAUUGAGGUGCGUAUUUGUUCAUUAUUUCUGGUGUAUUUUUCUCUGUCUCUUCUAACUCCGAAGUGGUCCUGAGGAGAUCAUACAUGCAUAAAUUCCCUUGCUCAAUCUGGAUGCCGACCGUUUCUUGAUAUGACUGGGUCCAACGUAAUAAGCUAUCAGACGAGAGAAAAUCGACUAUUUGCCACUUUCAAUAUAGGGCUUCGCAAAAUUGUAAUUUUCAAAAUUGGCUUCGUAAAAAUGCCACCCAGCUCGUAUACACUUUGAUUACCCUGCCAUUUUUUCCUUUUUAAUUGCUUUCCUUUUUUUUUUUCAUUAUCUGGCACCUAAAAGGAUCAAAGUACGCUUGAUGCUAUCUACAAGUAAUCGGGCAUCAGAUCAGCACUUGAAGUUGACGAGUGCAUGUUGCCAGCUGAGAAUAUUGUGCUUGCCCCAUACCUGAUCGGCGAUCGCCUGAACGUCUUGCGUCCAUCGCUGGAUGCCUGUCUUUGAAUAAGCUACAGCUAGUGCAUGAGAAGUUCAGAACAUAGUGCACCAAGCUAGUGGAUUAUGGACUAAUUUGCGGCAUUAUUCAUCUGUCGAAUUGUUGCUCAGCUGUUCCUCACCACGAAACUAAACAUGUCAUGCUAUUCAUGAUGUAAUUGCCAGAUUGCAAUCCAAGAUGAAGUGCAGAUUAUAGCAAACAAGACGUACAUGUUAACUUGCAUUCAACAUCUUUAAGACCUGCACACGCAUACAUCAUCUCCAGCGGCUGCUCCCAUCACGCCGCUGGUGCUGAUGUUCAGCGUCGGCCUCGCUACUAGAACACUUCUCUAGCAUGUCAUGGGGCGAGCUGCGCCAACACGAGCAGCGGAGGGUGAGCUGUGCUGUCGCGUGCAGGCCUGGGUGAGCAUCCGCGGCAAGCUGUGCUGGCUCGCGCGGGCAUCCGCGAGGCGAUGGUGAUCUGCACCGGCGCGUGCAGUCGUGGACGAGCACCGACGGCGACCUGCAGGGCAGGCAUUGGCAAGGUGAGGCCGAGCUGUGCGGCACGCGGGCGUUGGUUUGCACUUGCAGGUAGCUAUGCUUGCUCAUACAUGCGUGGGCAAGCUAGGGUGGAGAGCUGUGGUGGCUUGUGCAGACAUCGGCUACGUACCGCGGCGAGCAACACUGACGGCAAGGACGAGCUAGCUUCAGAGCAAUCGGAUCCAACCUGUCCACAAACGCUUGAGAUAAGAUAUAUAGCAUCAGGGGUACUUUGGUCUUCUGAGGUGCCAGAAAAUGAAAUAGUAAAAGAAAAGCAACAUGAAAAUGGAAAAUGGCAUGAUCAUCGAAGUGUACACGAGCUGGGUGGCAUUUUUAUAAAGACAAUCUUGAGAGUGGUAAUUUUGCGAAGCCAAAAGUGAUAAAUAGUCAAUUUUCUCAUCAGACGAUGAUAGCCUGAUAGUACAUUGCCGUGGGGUCUUACCUUGUUUUUUUCCUUUGUUUAACUGACUUAACCGGUCUCCACCCCCCACCCCCCCGGUCCACACCACCCUUCACACCAUUAUUAACGCUGGAAGAGCUCAGCUAUCUUUGAAGCACACAGGUGUCCCUCGCUAGCCUGAGCAGCAGAUCUGUCCAUCCCUCUGGGUACAAGCUCAAACCUCAAACUUGCAACCUCAGCUAGGUUAACGGGGCAGCCAUUCCGUGUGAGCAUUGCAACGCUUCCCCAUAACAGUUAAUCGUACUAGUUACCCUGAAAAGCUCAAACCUGCAACCUCAGCUAUGGGCUGAUGUAAUGGCGGCAGCCAUUUCCAUGCGACUAUACCUACGUGAGGAGCAUUGCGUUGCCGCUUUCCCCUUCCAGGAGGAAGCUUCCAAGUCAGCCUAUUGUUGUCGAACAGUGUUGGCCAACAAAAAGAGCAAGAGUGAGUGGCAGCAGAAGGCAAACAAGUCAGUGGAUGGAACAGUUUGGUGCUGCAAGUGUCGAAACUGAAGCUGUGCACACUGUCGAAACUGAAGUUGUGCACACUGUCGAAACUGAAACUGAAGCUGUGCACACUGUCGAAACUGAAGUUGUGCACACUAUCGAAACUGAAACUGAAGCUGUGCACACUGUCAAAAUUGUCGAAACCGAAGCUGAUAUCGAGUUUCAUGAGGCGAUAGCAUCGAGUCCAGUGAAGAAAACCAAGAUGAUAAGUGAACUUGUGUGUGCAGUACAACCAAAAACAAGAAAUGCCAAGGCGAAGAAGG
Hordeum vulgare subsp. vulgare (domesticated barley) is the source of this 2797-nucleotide long non-coding RNA. RefSeq lists it as uncharacterized. The transcript is spliced from 3 exons. NCBI's taxonomy places the organism in Eukaryota, Viridiplantae, Streptophyta, Magnoliopsida, Poales, Poaceae. The record is from RefSeq and is a predicted model, not a curated record.